Molecule: ribosomal RNA, 498 nt
Filed under: uncultured bacterium
Lineage: Bacteria
Description: partial 16S ribosomal RNA
Rfam family: Bacterial small subunit ribosomal RNA
Source: RNAcentral
GGAUGAACGCUGGCGGCGUGCCUACUACAUGCAAGUCGAGCGAACGGACGAGAAGCUUGCUUCUCUGAUGUUAGCGGCGGACGGGUGAGUAACACGUGGAUAACCUACCUAUAAGACUGGGAUAACUUCGGGAAACCGGAGCUAAUACCGGAUGAUAUUUUGAACCGCAUGGUUCAAAAGUGAAAGACGGUCUUGCUGUCACUUAUAGAUGGAUCCGCGCUGCAUUAGCUAGUUGGUAAGGUAACGGCUUACCAAGGAAACGAUGCAUAGCCGACCUGAGAGGGUGAUCGGCCACACUGGAACUGAGACACGGUCCAGACUCCUACGGGAGGCAGCAGUAGGGAAUCUUCCGCAAUGGGCGAAAGCCUGACGGAGCAACGCCGCGUGAGUGAUGAAGGUCUUCGGAUCGUAAAACUCUGUUAUUAGGGAAGAACAUAUGUGUAAGUAACUGUGCACAUCUUGACGGUACCUAAUCAGAAAGCCACGGCUAACUACGUG